ACAGGUUAGUGACUGACUGACUGACUACAGGUUAGUGAUUGACUGACUGACUACAGGUUAGUGACUGACUGACUGACUACAGGUUAGUGACUGACUGACUGACUGACUACAGGUUAGUGACUGACUGACUGACUGACUACAGGUUAGUGACUGACUGACUACAGGUUAGUGACUGACUGACUGACUGACUACAGGUUAGUGACUGACUGACUGACUGACUGACUACAGGUUAGUGACUGACUGACUACAGGUUAGUGACUGACUGACUACAGGUUAGUGACUGACUGACUGACUACAGGUUAGUGACUGACUGACUACAGGUUAGUGACUGACUGACUACAGGUUAGUGACUGACUGACUGACUACAGGUUAGUGACUGACUGACUGACUGACUGA
Oncorhynchus tshawytscha (Chinook salmon) is the source of this 396-nucleotide long non-coding RNA. The record is from Ensembl. Lineage: Eukaryota; Metazoa; Chordata; Actinopteri; Salmoniformes; Salmonidae.